This 573-nucleotide ribosomal RNA is filed under the name Lepus mandshuricus (Manchurian hare). RNAcentral describes it as "partial 12S ribosomal RNA". It matches the Rfam family "Bacterial small subunit ribosomal RNA", at positions 493 to 1334 of the family's 1533-position model. Lineage: Eukaryota; Metazoa; Chordata; Mammalia; Lagomorpha; Leporidae. The record is from RNAcentral.
UUGGUAAAUUUCGUGCCAGCCACCGCGGUCAUACGAUUAACCCAAACUAAUAAACACCCGGCGUAAAGCGUGAUUAGAACAUAANNAACAAAAANNNNNUAAAAUCAAAUAACAACUAAGCUGUAAAAAGUAAUAGUUGCAAAUAAAAAUAAACGACGAAAGUGAUUUUAUAGCCUUCGAACUCACGAUAGCUAAGAUCCAAACUGGGAUUAGAUACCCCACUAUGCUUAGCCUUAAACCUAAAUAAUUUUAUNAACAAAAUUAUUCGCCAGAGAACUACAAGCCAGAGCUUAAAACUCAAAGGACUUGGCGGUGCUUUAUACCCGCCUAGAGGAGCCUGUUCUAUAAUCGAUAAACCCCGAUAAACCUUACCACUCUUUGCCAACNUCAGCCUAUAUACCGCCAUCUUCAGCAAACCCUAAAAAGGAGCAAAAGUAAGCUCAAUCAUCACNCAUAAAAACGUUAGGUCAAGGUGUAGCCUAUAGAGUGGAAAGCAAUGGGCUACAUUUNUCUACNNNNUUUAGAAUACNNACGAAAGCCCCUAUGAAACUCUAGAGACCAAAGGAGGAUUUA